CCACUUGUGUCUGUUUCGUCCAC
RNAcentral lists this non-coding RNA (23 nucleotides) under Arabidopsis thaliana (thale cress). The record is from RNAcentral. Lineage: Eukaryota; Viridiplantae; Streptophyta; Magnoliopsida; Brassicales; Brassicaceae.